Molecule: ribosomal RNA, 253 nt
Filed under: uncultured bacterium
Lineage: Bacteria
Description: partial 16S ribosomal RNA
Rfam family: Bacterial small subunit ribosomal RNA
Source: RNAcentral
UACGUAGGGUCCGAGCGUUGUCCGGAAUUAUUGGGCGUAAAGGGCUCGUAGGCGGUUUGUCGCGUCGGGAGUGAAAACACCGGGCUAAACUCGGUGCUUGCUUUCGAUACGGGCAGACUGGAGGUAUGCAGGGGAGAACGGAAUUCCUGGUGUAGCGGUGAAAUGCGCAGAUAUCAGGAGGAACACCGGUGGCGAAGGCGGUUCUCUGGGCAUUACCUGACGCUGAGGAGCGAAAGUGUGGGGAGCGAACAGG